CUACCCAGAUAGGUCAACUUUUUUUUAUUUCUCUCCAUUCAGUCAUUUGUCUCUUUCAAGAACCGUCUGGCAUUCAGGGAGGGAGCUUUCGAAACUGAGUGGUAGGUGGCGACACUUGCAACUUAACCCCCUAAAAGAAGACCAAGCUACAGGAGUGGAACAAAAAGUGGCUGCUACAAUUCAAUGCAGUUAUUAUUAUUAUUAUUCUAAGUUAUCUGAAAUAUACGUGGACUCAACACCAUCUACGUCAUACAAAGACCACAAUGACCUAGAGGUUAAAAAAGGUUAAGUGAGGUUAAAUGACAUUGUGUGAUAUUGAAAGAAAAUUGAAUGAGCUGUUUCUUGGGAGUUUAAUUUUCAAUACUCUAGAACUUUUAUUUUGUUUUUUGUUUUGUUUAUGUGCUUAAAUAAUUCCAGCUUUUUGUCUUGUUUCUUAUUCUACACUGUCCUCUUUCCCUCCUUUUCCAUUCUUACUCUUCAUUUUUUUCGUUCCCUUUCUGUAAUCCUUUUCUUUCUCCUUUUUUUCCUUAUUUUCCGUAUUCAUUUUAUAUUUUCCAUCCCCCUAACAAAUGAUUUUCCUGUUUUCACCUCCAUGGUCUUGUGGUUGGCGUCCCUAACUACAAAACCGCGGGCGCAGGUUCGGAUCCCGGCCCGGGCAGUCAACGUGCAGGCCACCCAGCUGUUCAUCCUCCCUUUGGGCUUGUUGAAAAUUGGGUACCUGGGGACACCUGGGGAAGGUAGACUGUGGUAACCCGGAUGUCACUCUGCCGCUGUGUCCCGGGGGCGUAUUCCCAAUCUCUCAACGGGUAUGUGGGCCCUGAGACGCUCGGAUGUUUUUUUUUUUUAAGGUUUUCCUCUUUUUAUAUAUAAGUUAAGACUGACAUACACAAACUCAUGAAUAGCCUGACAAAUUAUCUUAAGGUGUAUUAUUGAAACCACUGAAACUCUGCCCAUAUUUCCUGUAACUGUUCAUGACAUCUUAGGGCCAAACGAUGCCAAGCCAUUCACCCAGUCACCCAGUCAACCAUUCAAGCAAACGUGUAUGUGGUCCCUCGGUGAAGACGCUUGUUGUUGUUUUUGUUUUGUUUUUUUAAGGUUUACCCCCUUUUAUAUAUGUAUUGAUACCAUUUAAGCUGAGACUGACAAACACGAUCUCAUGAAUAGCCUGACAAAUUAUCUUAAGGUGUAUUAUUGAAACCACUGAAACUCUGCCCAUAUUUCCUGUAACUGUUCAUGACAUCUUAGGGCCAAACGAUGCCAAGCCAUUCAACCAGUCACCCAGUCAACCAUUCUAGCAGUCAACCAAUCAACCAAACGGGUAUGUGGUCCCUGAGACGCUCGGAUGUUUUUUUUUAUUUUUUAUUUUUUAAGGUCUACCGCUUUUUUAUAUGUAUUGAUUUUUUUACUGGACCAUUUUAUUUGUUUUUAUUUGUUUUAUGUUAACUGCAGUUGUUGUGGUCAAUGAAAUAUACUACCAUACUACUACUACUACUACUACUACUACUACUAUAAUAGCUUCGAAACUAUCCACGGGGUGUUCUGGAAAAUACUCUCAUUGUGAUUCCCACCCAAAAUUACCAUGAACGACCCCAACUGAACCUAACCUGACCUGACCUGACCUGUUAAAGAGCGAGCGCCACAUACCCGUACAGAGGUUAAAAAAAAUUAAAAAAAAUCAAAAUUAUCAUAUAAUUUUAUGACCCAAACUAAACCUAACCUAACUAACCUAACCUGACCUUACCUAACCUGACCUGUUCAAGAGCGAGCGUCACAUACCCGAACAGAGGUUAACCCACUCAAAAUUACAAUAUAUGACCCCAACUAAACCUAACCUUAAAUAACCAGACCUGACCUGACCUGACCUGACCUGUUGAAGAGCGGGAGCCACAUACCCGCACAAAGGCAAA
This is a long non-coding RNA of Eriocheir sinensis (Chinese mitten crab), 1907 nucleotides long. RefSeq lists it as uncharacterized. The record is from RefSeq and is a predicted model, not a curated record. The transcript has 2 exons. NCBI's taxonomy places the organism in Eukaryota, Metazoa, Arthropoda, Malacostraca, Decapoda, Varunidae.